UACGUAGGGUGCGAGCGUUACACGUGAAUUACUGGGCGUAAAGCGUGCGCAGGCGGUUCGUUAAGUUCGAUGUGAAAGCCCCGGGCUCAACCUGGGAACUGCAUUGGAAACUGGCGAGCUUGAGUAUGGCAGAGGGGGGUGGAAUUCCGCGGUGUAGCAGUGAAAUGCGUAGAGAUGCGGAGGAACACCGAUGGCGAAGGCAGCCCCUGGGCCAAUACUGACGCUCAGGCACGAAAGCGUGGGGAGCAAACAGG
This 254-nucleotide ribosomal RNA is filed under the name uncultured bacterium. Its description in RNAcentral is "partial 16S ribosomal RNA". It matches the Rfam family "Bacterial small subunit ribosomal RNA", at positions 524 to 776 of the family's 1533-position model. The record is from RNAcentral.